UAAUAUCAGAGUAUUUUUAAUCUAAUUUAAUUUCUCAUGGUCAUAUGCCUUCAGAAGUGUAAAACUGAUGGCGUAAUCUUCUUUGCGGAUUAAAAUAAAUACCCAUCCUUGAAGCUCUGAAGAAGCUUCAUCGGAGCUCUCAAGAACAGAGAAUACGGAAAAGAGAAUAGGACGCCUCUUGCACAUUGAAAGGGUUGGGCAACAAUGAUUUAUCCACUAAUUGUAAGUUCAACAUUUGUUCCAAGUUAACUUAUUUUCAAUUAGUGCAUAUGGCUACUCAGUUGGAAUUAUGCAUUAGAACAAAACAGUUCGUUCAUCUUUCUGAUGCAGAGUUCCCCCCUUUUUUUAUUCUUCUUUGCAAUUUCUCUUCAAUUUCAAACUAUACAACCAGCUCACUCAAACACCAACAAUGCAGACCUUCUAUAGAGAAACAUUUGUUGCCAAUGUACAACUCGGUACAAGAAUGUUUGCU
Molecule: long non-coding RNA, 472 nt
Filed under: Hordeum vulgare
Lineage: Eukaryota; Viridiplantae; Streptophyta; Magnoliopsida; Poales; Poaceae
Description: long non-coding RNA (HVUL_LNC005188)
Source: RNAcentral